RNAcentral lists this ribosomal RNA (477 nucleotides) under uncultured bacterium. RNAcentral describes it as "partial 16S ribosomal RNA". It matches the Rfam family "Bacterial small subunit ribosomal RNA", at positions 28 to 507 of the family's 1533-position model. The record is from RNAcentral.
GAUUAACGCUGGCGGCGUGCAUAACACAUGCAAGUCGAACGAUGAAACUUAAAUGAUUUCUUCGGAAUGAACUUAAGUGGAUUAGUGGCGGACGGGUGAGUAACGCGUGAGUAACCUGCCUUACACAAGGGGAUAGCCGUUGGAAACGACGAAUAAUACCCUAUGAAACUAUCACUUCGCAUGAAGCGAUAGUCAAAGUGUUAGCGGUGUAAGAUGGACUUGCGUCUGAUUAGCUAGUUGGUGAGAAAAAAGCCCACCAAGGCAACGAUCAGUAGCCGGCUUGAGAGAGUGUACGGCCACAUUGGGACUGAGACACGGCCCAGACUCCUACGGGAGGCAGCAGUGGGGAAUUUUGCACAAUGGGGGAAACCCUGAUGCAGCGACGCCGCGUGAUUGAGAAGGCCUUCGGGUUGUAAAAAUCUUUUGUAUAGGAAGAAAAUGACAGUACUAGAAGAAUAAGGUCCGGCUAAUUACGUG